CCUACGGGUGGCAGCAGUGAGGAAUAUUGGUCAAUGGGCGAGAGCCUGAACCAGCCAAGUCGCGUGAAGGAUGGCGGCCCUACGGGUUGUAAACUUCUUUGGUCAGGGAGCAUUUUGGUCCACGCUUGGGCUUAGCGAGAGUACCUGAAGUAAAAGCAUCGGCUAACUGCGUGCCAGCAGGCGCGGUUAUACGGAGGGUGCGAGCGUUAUCCGGAUUUAGUGGGUUUAGGGGGUGCGGAGGCGGAAUAUCAAGACAGGGGAAAAACUUCGGGUCUCCACGCCGUCGUGCCGUUGAAACUGCUGUGCUUGAGUGGGCGAGCAGUAUGCGGAAUGCGUGGUGUAGCGGUGAAAUGCAUAGAUAUCACGCAGAACACCGAUUGCGAAGGCAGCAUACCGGCGCGCAACUGACGCUGAAGCACGAAAGCGUGGGUAUCGAACAGGAUUAGAUACCCUGGUAGUC
Molecule: ribosomal RNA, 460 nt
Filed under: uncultured bacterium
Lineage: Bacteria
Description: partial 16S ribosomal RNA
Rfam family: Bacterial small subunit ribosomal RNA
Source: RNAcentral